UAGUCUGGGAAACUGCCUGAUGGAGGGGGGUAACUACUGGAAACGGUAGCUAAUACCGCAUAAUGUCGCAAGACCAAAGUGGGGGACCUUCGGGCCUCAUGCCAUCAGAUGUGCCCAGAUGGGAUUAGCUAGUAGGUGGGGUAAUGGCUCACCUAGGCGACGAUCCCUAGCUGGUCUGAGAGGAUGACCAGCCACACUGGAACUGAGACACGGUCCAG
Molecule: ribosomal RNA, 218 nt
Filed under: uncultured bacterium
Lineage: Bacteria
Description: partial 16S ribosomal RNA
Rfam family: Bacterial small subunit ribosomal RNA
Source: RNAcentral